RNAcentral lists this non-coding RNA (31 nucleotides) under Mus musculus (house mouse). The record is from RNAcentral. Lineage: Eukaryota; Metazoa; Chordata; Mammalia; Rodentia; Muridae.
AUGGAGAUCAAUGCUGAAGAUAGCUCUUCAA